Molecule: non-coding RNA, 470 nt
Organism: Paramuricea clavata
Lineage: Eukaryota; Metazoa; Cnidaria; Anthozoa; Malacalcyonacea; Plexauridae
Source: the annotation of a GenBank genome assembly
GCACCUUCAUUGUUUCUUCCUUAAUCUGGCCCACUAGUCACAAAUGGGGCCUGUUCUUAUGACCUGGCUAGGCAGGAGACAACAUUUGCCAGUAUUGCUGAUAUACUAUCCUGCUACUAUCUGGCUAAGCACAAGGUAUCUGUUGCCAGAAUCCCAACUAUGCAAGCCAAGAAAUUCACCAUUUACAGUAAACAUUCUAUCCCACAACCAGGUAACAUGAACUUGCCUUUAGGGUCCCAUGCUGCCUAGCCCAGAUCAUAUCAACAGACCCUUAGCAGAUCCUGAAACUACAAUCGGAACAUUUUAGGCCAUAAUCUUGUAGAAUCAACCAGGUAUUGUCAGUAGUAUAAUAUCACACUGGGCAAGCUGGUCUUGCCCAUUUAUAUGGGCUAAAUAUACACCUGCCCAUGGUAAGAUACUGCCUCGUAUAUUAAUUUUAUAUAUGUUUGAGAUUGCAUUCACAUGAAACA